RNAcentral lists this ribosomal RNA (478 nucleotides) under uncultured bacterium. RNAcentral's name for it is "partial 16S ribosomal RNA". It matches the Rfam family "Bacterial small subunit ribosomal RNA", at positions 28 to 523 of the family's 1533-position model. The record is from RNAcentral.
GACGAACGCUGGCGGCGUGCUUAACACAUGCAAGUCGAACGGCAAGGCCCUUCGGGGUACACGAGUGGCGAACGGGUGAGUAACACGUGGGUGAUCUGCCCUGCACUUCGGGAUAAGCCUGGGAAACUGGGUCUAAUACCGGAUAGGACUCCUGGCUUCAUGGUUGGGGGUGGAAAGCUUUUGCGGUGUGGGAUGGGCCCGCGGCCUAUCAGCUUGUUGGUGGGGUAAUGGCCUACCAAGGCGACGACGGGUAGCCGGCCUGAGAGGGUGACCUGUCACACUGGGACUGAGAUACGGCCCAGACUCCUACGGGAGGCAGCAGUGGGGAAUAUUGCACAAUGGGCGCAAGCCUGAUGCAGCGACGCCGCGUGAGGGAUGACGGCCUUCGGGUUGUAAACCUCUUUCAGCUAUGACGAAGCGCAAGUGACGGUAGUAGCAGAAGAAGGACCGGCCAACUACGUGCCAGCAGCCGCGGUAA